This 661-nucleotide long non-coding RNA is filed under the name Panax ginseng (ginseng). RNAcentral's name for it is "long non-coding RNA (PGIN_LNC018248)". The record is from RNAcentral. Lineage: Eukaryota; Viridiplantae; Streptophyta; Magnoliopsida; Apiales; Araliaceae.
UCCUUCUAGCGCCAAUGUUAACGCCAAGAUCUUUCUCCACGUCCCAAUCACGAAAGACGUCCUGAUCCUGCACAGUAAACAUGACAAACACCACAAGCUUGACGGCUGGACCGCCGGGGGAUAGCUCAGGCGUAAGAGUAAGUAUGUCUGUUCACAAAGUUAACUCAAGAGGAUAAUAGAAUUUAGUGUAUUGAGAGUGAUAAUUUAUGAGUUGUGUGAAUGUGUAUAUAUGAAUAAAACGUACCUCCUUGUGAAGACUUACUCACUAAGAAAUAAUAUCCUUGCUUGGAUUAUCGUGCCGCCCACUAUCACCUGACAUAUCCCCCUGACCUGAUGGAUUCGACCGACUGCAUGGAGUUCGUCCACUGCUCUUGGCCACUGUUUGCACCACCGGCUGACUAUAAUCCCAACCACAUUAAUGUAUGGCAAAUAUCUUGGUCAACUGUCAUACUAUAUCAUCAUUACAAGUCAAAGUAAUAGAUAUUAAAUGACCCAAUGGGUUAAUCCAACGAACCGACCCGGUCCAAUAGGAUUAAAUAAAGUUGACACAAUAGAUGGGCUCAAAGAGUCCCAUGGCUUAAUUAUAAAAGCCCAACAGAUUAAACUGAUAAAUGGGCCCAAUAUACCCGGCCCAAAAUAGGAGAAAUAUCAUGACCCAACA